AACCUGGUUGAUCCUGCCAGUAGUCAUAUGCUUGUCUCAAAGAUUAAGCCAUGCAUGUCUAAGUAUAAGCCUUUACACGGUGAAACUGCGAAUGGCUCAUUAAAACAGUUAUCGUCUCCUUGACAGUUCAUACUACAUGGAUACCUAUGGUAAUUCUAGAGCUAAUACAUGCCUACAGACCCGACUUCGGAAGGGUUGUGCUUAUUAGAUACUACACCAACUGUCUUCGGACAGUUUUGUUGACUCAUAGUACCCAGCGAAUCGCAUGCUCCGGCGGCGAUGUGUCAUCCGAGUUUCUGACCUAUCAGCUUUCGACGGUAGGGUAUUGGCCUACCGUUGCUUUGACGGGUAACGGAGAAUUAGGGUUCGAUUCCGGAGAGGGAGCCUGAGAAACGGCUACCACAUCUAAGGAAGGCAGCAGGCGCGCAAAUUACCCAAUCCUGACUCAGGGAGGUAGUGACAAGAAAUAACAAUACUGGACCUUUCAGGUUUAGUAAUUGGAAUGAGAACAAUUUAAAACCCUUAUCGAGUAUCAAUUGGAGGGCAAGUCUGGUGCCAGCAGCCGCGGUAAUUCCAGCUCCAAUAGC
Molecule: ribosomal RNA, 587 nt
Filed under: uncultured marine eukaryote
Lineage: Eukaryota
Description: SSU rRNA
Rfam family: Eukaryotic small subunit ribosomal RNA
Source: RNAcentral